This 1162-nucleotide ribosomal RNA is filed under the name Stenomitos sp. WJT24-NPBG20. RNAcentral describes it as "bacterial SSU rRNA". It matches the Rfam family "Bacterial small subunit ribosomal RNA", at positions 356 to 1532 of the family's 1533-position model. Lineage: Bacteria; Bacillati; Cyanobacteriota; Cyanophyceae; Leptolyngbyales; Leptolyngbyaceae. The record is from RNAcentral.
GGGGGAUUUUCCGCAAUGGGCGCAAGCCUGACGGAGCAAGACCGCGUGAGGGAGGAAGGCUCUUGGGUUGUAAACCUCUUUUAUCAGGGAAGAAGAUCUGACGGUACCUGAUGAAUCAGCAUCGGCUAACUCCGUGCCAGCAGCCGCGGUAAUACGGAGGAUGCAAGCGUUAUCCGGAUUUAUUGGGCGUAAAGCGUCCGCAGGUGGUUUUACAAGUCUGCUGUCAAAGCGCGAGGCUUAACCUCGUACAGGCGGUGGAAACUGUGAGACUAGAGUAUGGUAGGGGUAGCGGGAAUUCCCAGUGUAGCGGUGAAAUGCGUAGAUAUUGGGAAGAACACCAGCGGCGAAAGCGCGCUACUGGGCCAUUACUGACACUCAUGGACGAAAGCUAGGGGAGCGAAAGGGAUUAGAUACCCCUGUAGUCCUAGCUGUAAACGAUGGAUACUAGGUGUUGCCCGUAUCGACCCGGGCAGUGCCGUAGCUAACGCGUUAAGUAUCCCGCCUGGGGAGUAUGCACGCAAGUGUGAAACUCAAAGGAAUUGACGGGGGCCCGCACAAGCGGUGGAGUAUGUGGUUUAAUUCGAUGCAACGCGAAGAACCUUACCAAGGCUUGACAUGUCGCGAACUCUUGUGAAAGUGAGAGGUGCCUUCGGGAGCGCGAACACAGGUGGUGCAUGGCUGUCGUCAGCUCGUGUCGUGAGAUGUUGGGUUAAGUCCCGCAACGAGCGCAACCCUCGUUUUUAGUUGCCAGCAUUCAGUUGGGCACUCUAGAGAGACUGCCGGUGACAAACCGGAGGAAGGUGGGGAUGACGUCAAGUCAGCAUGCCCCUUACGUCUUGGGCUACACACGUACUACAAUGCUACGGACAAAGGGUUGCGAGCUAGCGAUAGCAAGCUAAUCCCAUAAACCGUGGCUCAGUUCAGAUUGCAGGCUGCAACUCGCCUGCAUGAAGGAGGAAUCGCUAGUAAUCCCAGGUCAGCAUACUGGGGUGAAUACGUUCCCGGGCCUUGUACACACCGCCCGUCACACCAUGGGAGUUGGCCACGCCCGAAGUCGUUACUCCAACCUUUCGAGGAGGAGGAUGCCGAAGGCAGGGCUGAUGACUGGGGUGAAGUCGUAACAAGGUAGCCGUACCGGAAGGUGUGGCUGGAUCACCUCCUU